RNAcentral lists this ribosomal RNA (593 nucleotides) under uncultured Herbaspirillum sp. RNAcentral's name for it is "bacterial SSU rRNA". It matches the Rfam family "Bacterial small subunit ribosomal RNA", at positions 29 to 618 of the family's 1533-position model. Lineage: Bacteria; Pseudomonadati; Pseudomonadota; Betaproteobacteria; Burkholderiales; Oxalobacteraceae. The record is from RNAcentral.
UUGAACGCUGGCGGCAUGCCUUACACAUGCAAGUCGAACGGCAGCAUAGGAGCUUGCUCCUGAUGGCGAGUGGCGAACGGGUGAGUAAUAUAUCGGAACGUGCCCUAGAGUGGGGGAUAACUAGUCGAAAGACUAGCUAAUACCGCAUACGAUCUACGGAUGAAAGUGGGGGAUCGCAAGACCUCAUGCUCCUGGAGCGGCCGAUAUCUGAUUAGCUAGUUGGUGGGGUAAAAGCCUACCAAGGCAACGAUCAGUAGCUGGUCUGAGAGGACGACCAGCCCACUGGGACUGAGACACGGCCCAGACUCCUACGGGAGGCAGCAGUGGGGAAUUUUGGACAAUGGGGGCAACCCUGAUCCAGCAAUGCCGCGUGAGUGAAGAAGUCCUUCGGGUUGUAAAGCUCUUUUGUCAGGGAAGAAACGGUAGUAGCGAAUAACUAUUACUAAUGCCGGUACCUGAAGAAUAAGCACCGGCUAACUACGUGCCAGCAGCCGCGGUAAUACGUAGGGUGCAAGCGUUAAUCGGAAUUACUGGGCAAAGCGUGCGCAGGCGGUUGUGUAAGUCAGAUGUGAAAUCCCCGGGCUCAACCUGGG